Molecule: long non-coding RNA, 994 nt
Organism: Capra hircus (goat)
Lineage: Eukaryota; Metazoa; Chordata; Mammalia; Artiodactyla; Bovidae
Exons: 7
Source: RefSeq, a predicted model, not a curated record
CCAAGAUAAUCCAGCAGUGAAAAACUAGGAGUCCAAAAUAUUCAGGUUUGGACUUGUAAAGACCUGUAAACCUAUAGCAUUUCCCCUAGUUAAAAAGAAAAACAAAAAAAUAAGGACAGAAGAAGUAAAAACAAAAAGAAACGAAGAAGGCACCUUCACAGGCAUAGCAACAAUCACGUGACCUGGCGCCCCAGGUUUCCAAGCAGCCAAUCUCCACGAACACAGGCGCAGAGUUCCUGGGCAGGGAGGACGCAAACAGGCUGGCAGUUCAUUAAACGAAUUGGCAGGCGGGUUCAUUAUCACCUGAGAAGCCCCAGAGUGAAGGUUCUGCCGUUCUCUGAGGUUCAAACUCAGGACCUUCAGGUUAUGAGAGUGACGUGCUGCCUACUGUGCUAAGAGGGAAGAUUUAGUUUGGAUUUUCACUUGAGUGUUCCUCAGAGAGCUCUCUUCUGCCUCUUCCUUGAGUGCUGGCAGGAAGGACACGGAACCCGUUCUGUUCAACUGAAAGGCACAGCACAAAGACCUGCGGCUGGGUUGCUGUUCAACGUCAUCAGGAUCCCGAAAGAAUGUUUGCAUUGGUUUGGGAUGUCUGAUGCCUUUGCCACAGAAGCCUGCUGCAUUUGGUACAAGGCCUGAAGUUUUUUCUACGCUGCGAGCUUGCCCAGCUAUGAACUAGUCCCUGCCAAAGCUUCCUACCAUAUGGGAAUAAAGAAGCAGAUAAAGGUGCUGUGACGUGUAAUUUGUUAUGGGGAUGACGAAGAGAUGAUUCCAAGCUUUAUAAGAGACAGAGAAACUCCACCUAUGAGUGAAAGUUCUGAAGUCCAGAGAAAGAAGGUGAUUCGUCCAGAGCUGCAGCCAGUAGCAGAGCACAGACCUGGACUUCUGACACCCAGCCCCCAUGACUCCAGUGCUACCUCUGACACCAUACCCCUAUUCUGUCUGAAGUGAAACUUCUUGCCAUUGCUUUGGGAAAUGAUAACUUAAUUCAAUCUGA